This 497-nucleotide ribosomal RNA is filed under the name uncultured bacterium. RNAcentral's name for it is "partial 16S ribosomal RNA". It matches the Rfam family "Bacterial small subunit ribosomal RNA", at positions 28 to 507 of the family's 1533-position model. The record is from RNAcentral.
GAUGAACGCUGGCGGCGUGCCUAAUACAUGCAAGUCGAGCGAACAGACGAGAAGCUUGCUUCUCUGAUGUUAGCGGCGGACGGGUGAGUAACACGUGGAUAACCUACCUAUAAGACUGGGAUAACUUCGGGAAACCGGAGCUAAUACCGGAUGAUAUUUUGAACCGCAUGGUUCAAAAGUGAAAGACGGUCUUGCUGUCACUUAUAGAUGGAUCCGCGCUGCAUUAGCUAGUUGGUAAGGUAACGGCUUACCAAGGCAAUGAUGCAUAGCCGACCUGAGAGGGUGAUCGGCCACACUGGAACUGAGACACGGUCCAGACUCCUACGGGAGGCAGCAGUAGGGAAUCUUCCGCAAUGGGCGAAAGCCUGACGGAGCAACGCCGCGUGAGUGAUGAAGGUCUUCGGAUCGUAAAACUCUGUUAUUAGGGAAGAACAUAUGUGUAAGUAACUGUGCACAUCUUGACGGUACCUAAUCAGAAAGCCACGGCUAACUACGUG